UACGUAGGGGGCAAGCGUUUGUCCGGAUUUAUUGGGCGUAAAGAGCGUGUAGGCGGUUUUACAGGUCCGCUGUGAAACUCGAGGCUCAACCUCGAGCUGUCGGUGGAAACCGUAAGGCUAGAGUCCGGAAGAGGAGAGUGGAAUUCCUGGAUGUAGCGGUGAAAUGCGCAGAUAUCAGGAAGAACACCCGUGGCGGAAGGCGGC
RNAcentral lists this ribosomal RNA (204 nucleotides) under uncultured bacterium. RNAcentral describes it as "partial 16S ribosomal RNA". It matches the Rfam family "Bacterial small subunit ribosomal RNA", at positions 524 to 725 of the family's 1533-position model. The record is from RNAcentral.